UAUGAAGUCGUGAUUAGAACAAGUAAUUAAUUAACUGUCUAAAGAGAAGCUUACGGGGCUGAGAAGAGCUGGCAAUAAUUAAUGAACACACAUCUAUGAACUUAUUGAUUGAAUGAAGUAAAUCAAUACGCAGCAUCUGCGUUAUCAAGGUUGCUGACAACUGUUCUCCUUUUUUAGGAUGACUAGUGGUCAGUCAACGUGAGGUUUGCAUCGUGAGGUGUAGACAAAUUGAGGUGGUACCGCGAUUAUAUUCGUCCUCGAG
Molecule: non-coding RNA, 262 nt
Filed under: Loigolactobacillus backii
Lineage: Bacteria; Bacillati; Bacillota; Bacilli; Lactobacillales; Lactobacillaceae
Description: Lactobacillus backii T-box sequence
Rfam family: T-box leader
About the family: Uncharged tRNA acts as the effector for transcription antitermination of genes in the T-box leader family.
Source: RNAcentral